RNAcentral lists this long non-coding RNA (1407 nucleotides) under Hordeum vulgare. RNAcentral's name for it is "long non-coding RNA (HVUL_LNC021697)". The record is from RNAcentral. Lineage: Eukaryota; Viridiplantae; Streptophyta; Magnoliopsida; Poales; Poaceae.
UAACUUAUUAACUUUAUUAUCCGAAUUUCCAAAUACAAAAAACAUUGGUUCCGCAGCGCAGCUACACGUGUACAUUCCAUAUACACAAAUAAUUCCGUUGGCGCAAAUCGAACUAAGAAAUGACAAAUGAAAAGACAAGAAUUGUAGGUGCUAAAAAAAGAAAGUCGCAUGCAGGAUAAGCAAACACUGGAGGACGAUCCUUUACCAUGCAUGCACGUAGACGUACAUGCACGCACUUAAUUGGUACUAGUUGAUUGCGCGGCAGUUCUUCCUGAUCUGUCCCUGGUCACCGGUCUUGACCUCGAUGCCGGCCAUCUUCACCAUGGCCUUCUCGAACCUGUCCUCCCACCAUCCGGGGAUGUUGGCGUUGUCCACCACCAUCCUCGCCGUCUCCUCGGAGGUCAGGAGCGCCGCGUCGGAGGUGAAGAGCACCGUGUGCGACAGCACGUUCUUGUAGUACUGCCUGUCCAGGUCAUUCGGGGUCACCACGUCCUGCAUCACUGUGGGGUCAUUGCCGCCCGGGGCCGCAUCAGCGGGGCAUUGGUCACGCAGGAACGCGGCGAGGCCGCCGUUGAUGUCGGAGGGGGCGUUGAGGCGGUCAGGCACAAAGGAGGAGCAGUGGGAGCGACCGAUGGUGUGCGCUCCGGACAGGAUGACCAGGUCCUCCGCGUCCAGGCCCUUGACGACGAGGCUAUCGACGAGGUCGCUGAGGUUGGACGUGGGCGGGGCGAGAAACUUGAGGGGCUCGGAGGCGUUGGAGAAGGUGCCAUCACGGCGGCCCGAUGGCACCUCGAAGUGUACCUUGCCGGCGCUGAGGAUGCAGGACGCAUCGCGGGCCGCGAAGGCGAUGAUGUCCGCGCAGGACACGGUGCCCGGACAGGCCACCUCAAGGGCUUCUUUAAUGGCGUCGAUCAGCUCAAAGCCGCGCAGCGACGGGUUGUUUGGCGGGCUGAGCUUCUCCGGCGUCGGGCUGAACGGGGUAGGAUCCAGGAGAACCGAAGCGUCACAGCCCUAAUAAGGUGAUCACCGACGACAGACUCGACAAAAUCAAUCAUCUAUAUAUCAAAGUACGUAUAACAUACAUGUUUGCAUUGCAAUUUAUUUCUUGCAAUGUACCUCGACGAAACAGUCGUGGAAGAGCAUUCGGAUCAUGGCGGCGCCAUUGCCGGGGUUCUGGGAGAUGGCCUCCAUCAUGACGCCCUUGACGACGGCCUCCGCCUGGGGGCACCUGUCGUGGUAGAACCCGAUCUGCAGAGGGCUGGCCCGGCACCCCACAGCGAGCAGCAGCAGCAAGGCACACGCCACCAGAACCUGCAGCUUCUUAACAGCAGCAGCCGCCAUUGUUUCAAGAUAGCUCGAGUUCUUGACUAAGAUUGAAAGAUGGGAAGUGGGAGGUGAUGGAUCGAU